RNAcentral lists this ribosomal RNA (301 nucleotides) under uncultured bacterium. RNAcentral describes it as "partial 16S ribosomal RNA". It matches the Rfam family "Bacterial small subunit ribosomal RNA", at positions 509 to 807 of the family's 1533-position model. The record is from RNAcentral.
CAGCCGCCGCGGUAAUACGAGGGGGGCAAGCGUUGUUCGGAAUUAUUGGGCGUAAAGGGUGCGUAGGCGGUUUGAUAAGUCAUCUGUGAAAUCUCUGGGCUCAACCCAGAGUCUGCAAGCGAAACUGUCGGGCUUGAGUAUGGGAGAGGUGAGUGGAAUUUCCGGUGUAGCGGUGAAAUGCGUGGAUAUCGGAAGGAACACCUGUGGCGAAAGCGGCUCACUGGACCAUUUCUGAUGCUGAUGCACGAAAGCUAGGGGAGCAAACAGGAUUAGAUACCCGGGUAGUCCCUGUCUCUUAUAC